Molecule: ribosomal RNA, 97 nt
Filed under: uncultured bacterium
Lineage: Bacteria
Description: partial 16S ribosomal RNA
Rfam family: Bacterial small subunit ribosomal RNA
Source: RNAcentral
CACACCGCCCGUCACACCAUGGGAGUGGGCUUCACCAGAAGCAGGUAGCCUAACCGCAAGGGGGGCGCCUACCACGGUGAGAUUCAUGACUGGGGUG